Molecule: long non-coding RNA, 1671 nt
Organism: Cydia fagiglandana
Lineage: Eukaryota; Metazoa; Arthropoda; Insecta; Lepidoptera; Tortricidae
Exons: 3
Source: RefSeq, a predicted model, not a curated record
CGCCCGCCGGCGAGCGCCCCCGCGACCCCACGCCGCAGCUGCGCCCCGCGCAGCUCGCCACCUGCGCGCUCAUACUGCAGGAGAUCAACCGUAAAAUGCAGUGCGUCACGUGGCAGCCUCAGCCUUAGUUCCUCUCGCGACCACAACGCCAACAACGAUAACAACGUAUCACUUACUUGGGCUAUAACCUAUAGACGCAAAAAAAUCGGUCAACAAAAAAAAAACUGAGAAAUAUGCCCGAAAGCAUAAUUAGAGUAAUAUAAGUGAAGAAAUAGUGGUAACUCCAUACAUCAAUUUUCUUACCAACACGCGCGUUAUUUCGUAGUCGACAUCUAGCGUCAUCUAGCGGAAUUUAUCAGUACUGCUAGUUGACAAUAGAUGUCGCGGCGAACGAAAACUAAUGCUCAACAAUUUUCAGCUUUUUUUUUUUAUUAUGAAUGGGCUUUCUCAUGGCCACAGACUAGCCGAGGCGUAGACGUGGCCUACGAUGGAGCGAGCUCGCCCAGAAGGUACCGGAAUAACUGAAAUUCUAUUUUCAACCUCGUCUACUUAUAAUAUUAGUUGUAUUUUGUUUUUGUAGUAUAUUUUUCGUCAGUAGCUAACACUUGUGACAUCUGGUGACAAGUAGGGGUACUGAUAGUUCCACUACUUGAUGUAAGCCGACUACGAAAUAACGCUCCUUUUGGUAAGAAAACUAAUGUAUGGAGUUACCGGUCUUUCCUUACUUAUAUUACUCUAUGCCGAAAGCGAACUUGGUAAUUAGGUAGGCCUUCUGACUUUGGAAAAGAAGGUGCGUGUGUAGCUUUUGCUUCUGACUGUUCAUGUAAAUAUAGUUAUUGUAAAUGAUUAUUUUGUAAUUGUAUACUUUCAAUGUCAUUAAGUGUAAUGGCCAAUGAUUACAGAUGUAUUCUGCAAAACGUAAUUCAAGACCAAAAAAAGUAAGCAAUGUUGCCACUUUUUACUAGCGCAUCAUGUAUUUAUGUAAAAAUAAGUACUUAAAUAAAAGUACUUUUUUUAAAUCAAAGGAGUAAAAUUACUGAUAAAUAAAUUUACUUAGCGUGAUUAUUAAUCAAAAUGAAUUUACUAUUUUACAAACAAAUUAUUGCAAUGGCAACAAUGUCUUACUUUUUUGGUCUUGAAUUACGUUUUGCAGUAUAGUGCAUAAUUAUUUUCCUUCGUAUUUUCACGGAAACGUACGAACGUGUCUUGCUAAUUCAGUCAGUCUCGAUACAAAAAGUACUGAGGUUGACUGAAGUAGCAUGACAAAUACGAACGUUUCCGAUAAAAUACGAUGGAAAACUGCACUACAUCUGUACCUAUAGUUCGUUUUUUUUAGCAUUAGAAAGAACUUGCAAAAAGGUAAGCGAUCUUGACAUGUCUUUUAAUUGAAAAACGCUUUUUUAAAAUCAAUAACUAUUAUGAAAGCAGAAGAAUAUAAAUGAUCGUAUUAGAUUCAUAAUUGUAACAUAUUUGCCGUAACUUAUUUUUAAAAUGUGUUUUUCAAUUAAAAGACACAUCAAGAUUGUUUACCUUUAGGCCUAGCACAUGAUUGGCGCGACAGUAUCUCGCGGCGAGAUAGGCUACCCGUCCCUCUUUAAUUAUCAUAGUUAGAAAAAGACGGGUAGUCUAUCUCGCCGCGAGAUGCUGUCGCGCCAAUCAUGUGCUAGGCCU